This 301-nucleotide ribosomal RNA is filed under the name uncultured bacterium. RNAcentral's name for it is "partial 16S ribosomal RNA". It matches the Rfam family "Bacterial small subunit ribosomal RNA", at positions 509 to 807 of the family's 1533-position model. The record is from RNAcentral.
CAGUCGCCGCGGUAAUACAGAGGGUGCGAGCGUUAAUCGGAUUUACUGGGCGUAAAGCGUGCGUAGGCGGCUUCUUAAGUCAGAUGUGAAAUCCCUGAGCUUAACUUAGGAAUUGCAUUCGAUACUGGGAAGCUAGAGUAUGGGAGAGGAUGGUAGAAUUCCAGGUGUAGCGGUGAAAUGCGUAGAGAUCUGGAGGAAUACCGAUGGCGAAGGCAGCCAUCUGGCCUAAUACUGACGCUGAGGUACGAAAGCAUGGGGAGCAAACAGGAUUAGAUACCCGUGUAGUCCCUGUCUCUUAUAC